Non-coding RNA from Otolemur garnettii (small-eared galago), 74 nucleotides. The record is from Rfam. Lineage: Eukaryota; Metazoa; Chordata; Mammalia; Primates; Galagidae.
GCGCCUGUGGCUCAAAGGGGUAGGGCGCUGGUCCCAUAUGCCAGAGGUGGCGGGUUCAAACCCAGCCCUGGCCA